GAUGAACGCUGGCGGCGUGCUUAACACAUGCAAGUCGAGCGAGAAACUACAUGCAGACACUUCGGUAGAAGCGAGUAGCGGAAAGCGGCGGACGGGUGAGUAACGCGUAGGCAACCUGCCCUUCACAGAGGUAUAGCCUCGGGAAACCGGGAUUAAAACCACAUAAAAUCAUAGGUUCGCAUGAACCAAAGGUCAAAGAUUUAUCGGUGAAGGAUGGGCCUGCGUCUGAUUAGCUGGUUGGUAGGGUAAAAGCCUACCAAGGCGACGAUCAGUAGCCGACCUGAGAGGGUGAUCGGCCACAUUGGAACUGAGACACGGUCCAAACUCCUACGGGAGGCAGCAGUGGGGGAUAUUGCACAAUGGGGGAAACCCUGAUGCAGCAACGCCGCGUGAGGUAUGAAGGC
Molecule: ribosomal RNA, 404 nt
Filed under: [Eubacterium] saphenum
Lineage: Bacteria; Bacillati; Bacillota; Clostridia; Peptostreptococcales; Anaerovoracaceae
Description: bacterial SSU rRNA
Rfam family: Bacterial small subunit ribosomal RNA
Source: RNAcentral